CGUAGGUGAACCUGCGGAGGGAUCAUUACACAAAUAUGAAGGCGGGCUGGAACCUCUCGGGGUUACAGCCUUGCUGAAUUAUUCACCCUUGUCUUUUGCGUACUUCUUGUUUCCUUGGUGGGUUCGCCCACCACUAGGACAAACAUAAACCUUUUGUAAUUGCAAUCAGCGUCAGUAACAAAUUAAUAAUUACAACUUUCAACAACGGAUCUCUUGGUUCUGGCAUCGAUGAAGAACGCAGCGAAAUGCGAUAAGUAGUGUGAAUUGCAGAAUUCAGUGAAUCAUCGAAUCUUUGAACGCACAUUGCGCCCUUUGGUAUUCCAAAGGGCAUGCCUGUUCGAGCGUCAUUUGUACCCUCAAGCUUUGCUUGGUGUUGGGCGUCUUGUCUCUAGCUUUGCUGGAGACUCGCCUUAAAGUAAUUGGCAGCCGGCCUACUGGUUUCGGAGCGCAGCACAAGUCGCACUCUCUAUCAGCAAAGGUCUAGCAUCCAUUAAGCCUUUUUUUCAACUUUUGACCUCGGAUCAGGUAGGGAUACCCGCUGAACUUAAGCAUAUCAAUAAGCGGAGGAAAAGAAACCAACAGGGAUUGCCCUAGUAACUGCGAGAA
Molecule: ribosomal RNA, 606 nt
Filed under: Alternaria sp. BAB-3497
Lineage: Eukaryota; Fungi; Ascomycota; Dothideomycetes; Pleosporales; Pleosporaceae
Description: eukaryotic LSU rRNA
Rfam family: 5.8S ribosomal RNA (bases 194-347)
Source: RNAcentral